GGGGCCGUAGUUCAGCUGGGAGAACGCUACACUGGCAGUGUAGAGGUCGAGAGUUCAAAUCUCUCCGGCUCCA
This 73-nucleotide transfer RNA is filed under the name Candidatus Susulua stagnicola. Its description in RNAcentral is "tRNA-Ala". It matches the Rfam family "tRNA". From Rfam's summary of the family: Transfer RNA (tRNA) molecules are approximately 80 nucleotides in length. Lineage: Bacteria; Pseudomonadati; Candidatus Omnitrophota. The record is from RNAcentral.